AUUGAACGCUGGCGGCAGGCCUAACACAUGCAAGUCGAGCGGAUGAAGGGAGCUUGCUCCUGGAUUCAGCGGCGGACGGGUGAGUAAUGCCUAGGAAUCUGCCAGGUAGUGGGGGAUAACGUCCGGAAACGGGCGCUAAUACCGCAUACGUCCUGAGGGAGAAAGUGGGGGAUCUUCGGACCUCACGCUAUCAGAUGAGCCUAGGUCGGAUUAGCUAGUUGGUGGGGUAAAGGCCUACCAAGGCGACGAUCCGUAACUGGUCUGAGAGGAUGAUCAGUCACACUGGAACUGAGACACGGUCCAGACUCCUACGGGAGGCAGCAGUGGGGAAUAUUGGACAAUGGGUGAAAGCCUGAUCCAGCCAUGCCGCGUGUGUGAAGAAGGUCUUCGGAUUGUAAAGCACUUUAAGUUGGGAGGAAGGGCAGUAAGUUAAUACCUUGCUGUUUUGACGUUACCAACAGAAUAAGCACCGGCUAACUUCGUG
Molecule: ribosomal RNA, 484 nt
Filed under: uncultured bacterium
Lineage: Bacteria
Description: partial 16S ribosomal RNA
Rfam family: Bacterial small subunit ribosomal RNA
Source: RNAcentral